CAGCCGCCGCGGUAAUACGAAGGGUGCAAGCGUUACUCGGAAUUACUGGGCGUAAAGCGUGCGUAGGUGGUGGUUUAAGUCCGUCGUGAAAGCCCUGGGCUCAACCUGGGAAUUGCAGUGGAUACUGGGUCACUAGAGUGUGGUAGAGGAUAGUGGAAUUUCCGGUGUAGCAGUGAAAUGCGUAGAGAUCGGAAGGAACAUCUGUGGCGAAGGCGACUAUCUGGGCCAACACUGACACUGAGGCACGAAAGCGUGGGGAGCAAACAGGAUUAGAUACCCCGGUAGUCCCUGUCUCUUAUAC
This 301-nucleotide ribosomal RNA is filed under the name uncultured bacterium. Its description in RNAcentral is "partial 16S ribosomal RNA". It matches the Rfam family "Bacterial small subunit ribosomal RNA", at positions 509 to 807 of the family's 1533-position model. The record is from RNAcentral.